This 496-nucleotide ribosomal RNA is filed under the name uncultured bacterium. RNAcentral describes it as "partial 16S ribosomal RNA". It matches the Rfam family "Bacterial small subunit ribosomal RNA", at positions 30 to 523 of the family's 1533-position model. The record is from RNAcentral.
AUUGAACGCUGGCGGAAUGCUUUACACAUGCAAGUCGAACGGUAGAGGGGGCAACCCCUCGAGAGUGGCGAACGGGUGAGUAAUAUAUCGGAACGUGCCCAGUCGUGGGGGAUAACGUAGCGAAAGUUACGCUAAUACCGCAUACGAUCUAAGGAUGAAAGCGGGGGAUCGCAAGACCUCGCGCGAUUGGAGCGGCCGAUAUCAGAUUAGGUAGUUGGUGGGGGAAAGGCUCACCAAGCCAACGAUCUGUAGCUGGUCUGAGAGGACGACCAGCCACACUGGAACUGGGACACGGUCCAGACUCCUACGGGAGGCAGCAGUGGGGAAUUUUGGAAAAUGGACGCAAGUCUGAUCCAGCCAUUCCGCGUGCAGGAUGAAGGCCCUCGGGUUGUAAACUGCUUUUGUACGGAACGAAAAGGUCUCUCUUAAUACGGGGGACUCAUGACGGUACCGUAAGAAUAAGUACCGGCUAACUACGUGCCAGCCGCCGCAGUAA